UACGGGGGGGGCAAGCGUUGUUCGGAAUUACUGGGCGUAAAGGGCUCGUAGGUGGCCAACUAAGUCGGACGUGAAAUCCCUCGGCUUAACCGGGGAACUGCUUCCGAUACUGGUUGGCUUGAGUUUGGGAGAGGGAUGCGGAAUUCCAGGUGUAGCGGUGAAAUGCGUAGAUAUCUGGAGGAACACCGGUGGCGAAGGCGGCUAUCUGGACGGUUUCUGACACUAAGACUCGAAAGCGUGGGGAGCAAACAGG
Molecule: ribosomal RNA, 253 nt
Filed under: uncultured bacterium
Lineage: Bacteria
Description: partial 16S ribosomal RNA
Rfam family: Bacterial small subunit ribosomal RNA
Source: RNAcentral